Non-coding RNA from Chelonia mydas (Green sea turtle), 115 nucleotides. The record is from Rfam. Lineage: Eukaryota; Metazoa; Chordata; Testudines; Cheloniidae.
GAGAUUGGAUUUUGCACCAGAUCGCAUAAAUCUUUCUCCUUUUACUAAAGAUUUCCGUGGAGAGGAACCAUUGCAGAAUCUGCAAAUCAUCCCGCCAGUAGGAGUCAGCCUGGUG